CCCGCACAAGCGGAGGAACAUGUGGUUUAAUUCGAUGAUACGCGAGGAACCUUACCUGGGCUAGAACGCAUUCGGAAUCAGGCCGAAAGGCCUGCGCCAGCGAUGGCCGCUUGCGAGGUGCUGCAUGGUUGUCGUCAGCUCGUGCCGUGAGGUGUCGGGUUAAGUCCCAUAACGAGCGCAACCCCUACUGCUAGUUGCCAGCGGGUCAUGCCGGGGACUCUAGCGGAACUGCCAGCGUAAGCUGCGAGGAAGGUGGGGAUGACGUCAAGUCAUCAUGGCCCUUACGGCCUGGGCUACACACGUGCUACAAUGGUCGGUACAAAGGGUUGCCAAGCCGCGAGGUGGAGCUAAUCCCAUAAAACCGAUCGUAGUCCGGAUCGCAGUCUGCAACUCGACUGCGUGAAGUCGGAAUCGCUAGUAAUCGUGAAUCAGAAUGUCACGGUGAAUACGUUCCCGGGCCUU
RNAcentral lists this ribosomal RNA (462 nucleotides) under uncultured Sphingobacteriales bacterium. Its description in RNAcentral is "bacterial SSU rRNA". It matches the Rfam family "Bacterial small subunit ribosomal RNA", at positions 920 to 1382 of the family's 1533-position model. Lineage: Bacteria; Pseudomonadati; Bacteroidota; Sphingobacteriia; Sphingobacteriales. The record is from RNAcentral.